This 254-nucleotide ribosomal RNA is filed under the name uncultured prokaryote. RNAcentral's name for it is "partial 16S ribosomal RNA". It matches the Rfam family "Bacterial small subunit ribosomal RNA", at positions 522 to 775 of the family's 1533-position model. The record is from RNAcentral.
AAUACGGAGGGUGCAAGCGUUGCUCGGAAUCACUGGGCGUAAAGCGACCGCAGGCGGUCUGACAAGUCGGAUGUGAAAGCCCUGGGCUCAACUCAGGAAUUGCAUUCGAAACUGGCAGACUCGAGUACGGGAGAGGGGGGUGGAAUUCCUGGUGUAGGGGUGAAAUUCGUUGAUAUCAGGAGGAACACCGGCGGCGAAGGCGGCCCCCUGGCCCGCGACUGACGCUCAUGGUCGAAAGCGUGGGGAGCAAACAG